CUCCGGUUGAUCCUGCCGGACCCGACUGCUAUCAGAGUGGGACUAAGCCAUGCGAGUCAACGUAGCAAUACGUGGCAUACGGCUCAGUAACACGUAGUCAACAUGCCCAGGGGACGAGGAUAACCUCGGGAAACUGAGGAUAAACCUCGAUAGGCCAUGAUUUCUGGAAUGAUUCUUGGCUCAAACCUAUAUGGCCCCUGGAUUGGACUGCGGCCGAUCAGGCUGUUGGUGAGGUAAUGGCCCACCAAACCUGUAACCGGUACGGGCUCUGAGAGGAGGAGCCCGGAGAUGGGCACUGAGACAAGGGCCCAGGCCCUAUGGGGCGCAGCAGGCGCGAAACCUCUGCAAUAGGCGAAAGCUUGACAGGGUUACUCUGAGUGAUUUCCGUUAAGGAGAUCUUUUGGCACCUCUAAAAAUGGUGCAGAAUAAGGGGUGGGCAAGUCUGGUGUCAGCCGCCGCGGUAAUACCAGCACCCCGAGUGGUCGGGACGUUUAUUGGGCCUAAAGCAUCCGUAGCCGGUUCUACAAGUCUUCCGUUAAAUCCACCUGCUUAACAGAUGGGCUGCGGAAGAUACUAUAGAGCUAGGAGGCGGGAGAGGCAAGCGGUACUCGAUGGGUAGGGGUAAAAUCCGUUGAUCCAUUGAAGACCACCAGUGGCGAAGGCGGCUUGCCAGAACGCGCUCGACGGUGAGGGAUGAAAGCUGGGGGAGCAAACCGGAUUAGAUACCCGGGUAGUCCCAGCUGUAAACGAUGCAGACUCGGUGAUGAGUUGGCUUAUUGCUAACUCAGUGCCGCAGGGAAGCCGUUAAGUUUGCCGCCUGGGGAGUACGGUCGCAAGACUGAAACUUAGAGGAAUUGGCGGGGGAGCA
This 868-nucleotide ribosomal RNA is filed under the name uncultured archaeon. RNAcentral's name for it is "bacterial SSU rRNA". It matches the Rfam family "Archaeal small subunit ribosomal RNA", at positions 1 to 878 of the family's 1478-position model. The record is from RNAcentral.